Molecule: ribosomal RNA, 484 nt
Filed under: uncultured bacterium
Lineage: Bacteria
Description: partial 16S ribosomal RNA
Rfam family: Bacterial small subunit ribosomal RNA
Source: RNAcentral
AUUGAACGCUGGCGGCAUGCCUUACACAUGCAAGUCGAACGGCAGCACGGGUGCUUGCACCUGGUGGCGAGUGGCGAACGGGUGAGUAAUACAUCGGAACAUGUCCUGUAGUGGGGAUAGCCCGGCGAAAGCCGGAUUAAUACCGCAUACGAUCCACGGAUGAAAGCGGGGGACCUUCGGGCCUCGCGCUAUAGGGUUGGCCGAUGGCUGAUUAGCUAGUUGGUGGGGUAAAGGCCUACCAAGGCGACGAUCAGUAGCUGGUCUGAGGGGAGGACCAGCACACUGGGACUGAGACACGGCCCAGACUCCUACGGGAGGCAGCAGUGGGGAAUUUUGGACAAUGGGCGAAAGCCUGAUCCAGCAAUGCCGCGUGUGUGAAGAAGGCCUUCGGGUUGUAAAGCACUUUUGUCCGGAAAGAAAUCCUUGACUCUAAUACAGUCGGGGGAUGACGGUACCGGAAGAAUAAGCACCGGCUAACUACGUG